RNAcentral lists this ribosomal RNA (478 nucleotides) under uncultured bacterium. RNAcentral's name for it is "partial 16S ribosomal RNA". It matches the Rfam family "Bacterial small subunit ribosomal RNA", at positions 28 to 523 of the family's 1533-position model. The record is from RNAcentral.
GACGAACGCUGGCGGCGUGCUUAACACAUGCAAGUCGAACGGUAAGGCCCUUCGGGGUACACGAGUGGCGAACGGGUGAGUAACACGUGGGUGAUCUGCCCUGCACUUCGGGAUAAGCCUGGGAAACUGGGUCUAAUACCGGAUAGGACUCCGGACUACAAGGUCUGGGGUGGAAAGCUUUUGCGGUGUGGGAUGGGCCCGCGGCCUAUCAGCUUGUUGGUGGGGUGAUGGCCUACCAAGGCGACGACGGGUAGCCGGCCUGAGAGGGUGACCGGCCACACUGGGACUGAGAUACGGCCCAGACUCCUACGGGAGGCAGCAGUGGGGAAUAUUGCACAAUGGGCGCAAGCCUGAUGCGGCGACGCCGCGUGAGGGAUGACGGCCUUCGGGUUGUAAACCUCUUUCAGCAUCGACGAAGCGAAAGUGACGGUAGGUGCAGAAGAAGGACCGGCCAACUACGUGCCAGCCGCCGCCGUAA